GACGAACGCUGGCGGCGUGCUUAACACAUGCAAGUCGAACGGAAAGGCCCCUUUGGGGGUACUCGAGUGGCGAACGGGUGAGUAACACGUGAGUAACCUGCCCUUGACUUCGGGAUAACUUCAGGAAACUGGGGCUAAUACCGGAUAGGAAUCCUUGCUGCAUGGUGGGGGUUGGAAAGCUUCGGCGGUUUUGGACGGACUCGCGGCUUAUCAGCUUGUUGGUGGGGUAGUGGCUUACCAAGGCUUUGACGGGUAGCCGGCCUGAGAGGGCGACCGGCCACAUUGGGACUGAGAUACGGCCCAGACUCCUACGGGAGGCAGCAGUGGGGAAUAUUGCACAAUGGGCGGAAGCCUGAUGCAGCAACGCCGCGGGCGGGAUGACGGCCUUCGGGUUGUAAACCGCUUUCAGCAGGGGCGAAGCUUGUGGUGACGGUACCUGCAGAAGAAGCACCGGCUAACUACGUG
RNAcentral lists this ribosomal RNA (465 nucleotides) under uncultured bacterium. RNAcentral describes it as "partial 16S ribosomal RNA". It matches the Rfam family "Bacterial small subunit ribosomal RNA", at positions 28 to 507 of the family's 1533-position model. The record is from RNAcentral.